ACAGAUUUUGUUGAUUUUGUCAUAGAAAUUUUUUUUUUCUUUUUUCUUAUUAUUUGAACCAGAGGAGCUACCCUUAGGUUGCCCCUUCUAUAGUUGCUCAUUAAUCUCUCUCUCUUCCACUAGUAUUAUCAGAGUUUGUUUGGAGUUAGCUUUGCAACAUUAUGUAGUGGUGUAUUCAUGUUGAAGUUGAUUCCAAUUAUGGGAAUUAACUAGAGGCAUUUUAUUGUUGAUAAUUUGUUGACAAUACUGGGCACUGGCAUCUUAGUUCAUAAAAUCGUUCGGCAUUAUCCUAAGCAUUUGGUUAGUUUUUGGUAGAUAAAAUUGACUUGAGGGUUGGUGCUUCUAACUUUUGUGGAUGC
RNAcentral lists this unclassified non-coding RNA (359 nucleotides) under Hevea brasiliensis (rubber tree). The record is from RNAcentral. Lineage: Eukaryota; Viridiplantae; Streptophyta; Magnoliopsida; Malpighiales; Euphorbiaceae.